Molecule: small RNA, 141 nt
Filed under: Pararhizobium polonicum
Lineage: Bacteria; Pseudomonadati; Pseudomonadota; Alphaproteobacteria; Hyphomicrobiales; Rhizobiaceae
Description: Alphaproteobacterial sRNA ar35
Rfam family: Alphaproteobacterial sRNA ar35
Source: Rfam by way of RNAcentral
UUCCGCUGUGUCUUGAAAUGGUUACAUUCCCUUGCCAUAUUGCACCCAUGGAAUUCGUUUCCAGCGGUUGACCACGGAUGUACUGGCAAUCGUUGUCGAGACGGGUCGGAGAGGUCGGGUUUUCACCCGGCCUUUUUCUUU